GGAUGAACGCUGGCGGCGUGCCUAAUACAUGCACGUCGAGCGAACGGACGAGAAGCUUGCUUCUCUGAUGUUAGCGGCGGACGGGUGAGUAACACGUGGAUAACCUACCUAUAAGACUGGGAUAACUUCGGGAAACCGGAGCUAAUACCGGAUAAUAUUUUGAACCGCAUGGUUCAAAAGUAAAAGACGGUCUUGCUGUCACUUAUAGAUGGAUCCGCGCUGCAUUAGCUAGUUGGUAAGGUAACGGCUUACCAAGGCAACGAUGCAUAGCCGACCUGAGAGGGUGAUCGGCCACACUGGAACUGAGACACGGUCCAGACUCCUACGGGAGGCAGCAGUAGGGAAUCUUCCGCAAUGGGCGAAAGCCUGACGGAGCAACGCCGCGUGAGUGAUGAAGGUCUUCGGAUCGUAAAACUCUGUUAUUAGGGAAGAACAUAUGUGUAAGUAACUGUGCACAUCUUGACGGUACCUAAUCAGAAAGCCACGGCUAACUACGUG
This 498-nucleotide ribosomal RNA is filed under the name uncultured bacterium. RNAcentral's name for it is "partial 16S ribosomal RNA". It matches the Rfam family "Bacterial small subunit ribosomal RNA", at positions 27 to 507 of the family's 1533-position model. The record is from RNAcentral.